This 1295-nucleotide long non-coding RNA is filed under the name Phascolarctos cinereus (koala). RNAcentral's name for it is "lncRNA (ENSPCIG00000035546.1)". The record is from RNAcentral. Lineage: Eukaryota; Metazoa; Chordata; Mammalia; Diprotodontia; Phascolarctidae.
CCAAAAGGGACCACCAAAUACACCCUCCUCGUCUAACAGGAGGAAACUGGAGCCCAGAGAAAGGAAGCCUAACCUCCCAAGAGACCACAGGUCACCAGCAUCAGAGGCAGCACUGGAACCCUGGCUCUUCCUCGCUGCCCUCUUCGACCCAGCCAGACCUCAGUUGCCUAUGAGGCAGGUGGUAUUGGCUUUCAGACACUGGCAGAGCCCAAGAAACAGCACCCAAAUGAAAGGUCCUAAAGUCAACUCAGGAAGUCUGCCGUUAUUUGGAGAAGUAAAUAAAAUACCUCAAUCUAACAGGUGUCUAGAGACAGGGAGAUAAGAUCUGAAAGGAGAGAAAGCACCGGAGGUGCUUUCCCUGUCCCUAAGGGAGAGAAGCAGGGUGGAGGAGUGGGGAUAGAGCUGGCUGGGGAGCCAACCUGGGCCGCGGGGUCUGAGGGACCAUGAACCUCUUACAGCCCACCACUUCUCCAAGCUGCAGAGCCCCCACCUCCGUUGACUCACAGUUUUUCAUCUGAGAGUUCUCUGUGCCAAUGCAAUCAUCCCCUAAGAAACACUCAGCUUAAUCAAUGAACAUUUAUGAAGUACCUACUGUAUGCCAGGCACUGUGCUAAGCACUGGGGAUACAAAAAAAGGCAAAAGAUAGUCCCUGCCCCCGAGGAGCUUCCAAUCUAAUAGAGAGACCAUGUAAACAGCUAUAUACAAAGCAAGCUAUAUGCAGGAAAAAAAGAACAGAAGGAAGAUACUGGAAUUGAGAGGGGUUAAUAGAAGAAAACAUGGUAGCAAUUGAAAAUCUCAGCCUAAUACUGGUCACAAAGGCUUUCUUUCUCUUUUUUAAAAGGAGAAAGAGAAAAUAGAUUUUUGUUAAUUAAUUUUUAAAAAACAUCUUAGCCUCUAGCUUGCACAGGGUUCACUGGGAAAAGCAUGUAUGAGGACCUGAGUUCUAAUCCAACCUGCCAUGUUUUGCCUGUGUGACCUUGGGCAAGUCACUUGUCUUUCCUCUCUCUCUCUCUCUCCUCAGUUUCCCUGCCUGUAAAAUGACAGAAUUGUAGUCGAUGACUUCUGAAGUCCCUUUUAGAUCUAAGUCUUCAGUUCUGCGAUCUUUGGGUUCAUGAGAAUUGAUAAAAAUGUCACUUUCUAUUGCUGCUCAGACCAAUGACAGCUAAUGCUGAUAGUAACUAAUACCAGGUUAGCCCAAGAAAAGAAGUGCCAUCUUCCCUUCUUUACCAGGCCUAGAGUCUGGAAGACCAGAGUUAGAAUCCUGUUUCAGAUACUUACUAGCUGUGUGACCUGAA